CUUGAUCAUUUUUUCCCAAAAACUUCGAAUUCAUCAUUUUAUUUGAAGUUAGGGUUUGGUGAAUGGAAAUGUAGACUACGAAGCCAAAUGCAUUCUCAAUCAAUUGAUCUCAAACCCUAACUGAUCUCUACACUCGAAUGAUUUAAUCGGGCAGAUCACUAGACAAGUCGAUUUCAAUGCUUCAGAUGGAGCUGGUUGCUACUCGAAGUUCUCAAGAGAUGAGGAGAUCUGAUGAGUUCACUCACAUCUCCGAAUUGACUCAUGAGGGCUUGCCAAGGAAGAAGGCUUUCAUAGUUAUUGGAAUUAAUAUUGCUUUUAGUAGUAGGAAGAGACGUGAUUCGGUUAGACAAACUUGGAUGCCUCAAGGAGAGAGACUUUUUCAAUUGGAAUAAGAGAAGGGAAUUAUCAUCCGGUUCGUGACCGGCCAUAGGUAAAUCUCUUGUCUGCAUUUUCUCACAAGUUGGUUAGUUUAGUAUUAUUUGAAAAAAAUAGGAAUUCUUCGGGCAGUAUGAUCUAAUUAUUAAUUUUUUGAAGUUGGAUCCAUUGCUUUUCCUUGAUAUAGAUUUGUCAAAAGUCAGCUCUUGCUUGUGUAACAAUAGACAUUGUUAAGCAAAUAACUGUAUCAUUAUCACAUGAAUUGCCUUUAAAAAUUAAAAUAGAAUAUCCAGGAAGUUUUGAGAUGUUCACUUGUUAUGAGAAUAAACAAGUUUUAGAUUAUUCUUUGUUUACUAUAUUUCCAUUCCAUUGGUGGUCAACAACCAGAGCCAUAGCAAAAGCACAAAUAAUCUUUACCACAUGCUGCGGGGUAAUUUACUUUUAUGUGCUGUGAUGUUCUUUGAUGAGACUAGAAAAAGACAAACUAAAUUUCCAUGAAGAUGUUUGUUUGUAUAUCUAAGAACUGCAGAACUAUUUGGUCAAUGAAUCAAUUGGACAGGUGAACUAAAUCUUAAUUGAUCUGCAUUCCACGUUGGUGUUGGUGGACAAGUACAAGAAGCACUCUCCCGUGGACUUCGAUGUCAAAUUUAUGUAAAGCUGCACUAGGAAGGAAACUUUGAUCGCUGCUCCAUAUGGUUGAAAUCGCGGUUGGUUUGAAUAAGGUGAACUUGUAGUUCUAGCAUUUAAGAAGUUUAGGGAAAGUUUGGAGGUUUUUGUAGACAAAAAUGAGUAGGAAUUAACUUGAGUUUUAGAAUUAUAACAUGUAGAAACUUAAAAGUGUAAUAAAAUUUAUAGGCGGCAAUUAUUUUGUCGUAUGUAGAUGCUGUAAAUUAUAGUCCAUGAAAAUUAAUUAAAACAUACUUGACCAAACAAGGUUCCAAGGGUUGCUUCGUUUAAAAUUCUAAAGUUGUCUCCUCUCUUUUGAUUGUGUUUCGCAUCGUUUUCUUAACUGGUAUGUAGAUGCUAUAAAUUAUUGUCUUAGGAGCCUUAGCAUAAUCAUGUGUACGAAGAUAGUAGUUGAAGAGGAUUUUCUCAAGGGUAUGAGGUGGACAGUUAAAGUUUGAUUUUGCACCUUAAGGGAGGAUAUUCCCCUGGAUUUUAGGUGGAUAGUUAAAGUUUGAUUUUUACCUUAUGUGCUUUGCCUCGUUUGGGAAUAGACUUUUUUAGUAAU
Camellia sinensis is the source of this 1606-nucleotide non-coding RNA. The record is from RefSeq and is a predicted model, not a curated record. Lineage: Eukaryota; Viridiplantae; Streptophyta; Magnoliopsida; Ericales; Theaceae.